RNAcentral lists this long non-coding RNA (248 nucleotides) under Gossypium barbadense (sea-island cotton). RNAcentral describes it as "long non-coding RNA (GBAR_LNC004390)". Lineage: Eukaryota; Viridiplantae; Streptophyta; Magnoliopsida; Malvales; Malvaceae. The record is from RNAcentral.
UGAUAGUGUGACGACUUCUGACCUUUUAAAUUAUUUUUUUAUAGUAAAUGGAUCCCGAUCCAGUUGCGGCUGAUGAUGUAGAGAGUAAUGUACCAGCUCCGGUUGAAGGGGCGAUGCCAACUAAAAACCCACCUCCUACAAUUGGUCAAGGAGGAGGAGAAGGGGCUCAGGAAGCCUUUCUCCAGAUGAUAAGUGCCUGGUAUACUGAGUUUGUUCGUAUGAACCCGAAUACACAACCUCUCCCACCU